This 236-nucleotide ribosomal RNA is filed under the name uncultured Actinomycetales bacterium. Its description in RNAcentral is "partial 16S ribosomal RNA". It matches the Rfam family "Bacterial small subunit ribosomal RNA", at positions 97 to 334 of the family's 1533-position model. The record is from RNAcentral. Lineage: Bacteria; Bacillati; Actinomycetota; Actinomycetes; Actinomycetales.
GGCGAACGGGUGAGUAACACGUGAGUAACCUGCCCUUGACUUUGGGAUAACUUCAGGAAACUGGGGCUAAUACCGGAUAGGAGCUCCUGCUGCAUGGUGGGGAUUGGAAAGUUUCGGCGGUUGGGGAUGGACUCGCGGCUUAUCAGCUUGUUGGUGGGGUAGUGGCUUACCAAGGCUUUGACGGGUAGCCGGCCUGAGAGGGUGACCGGCCACAUUGGGACUGAGAUACGGCCCAG